RNAcentral lists this long non-coding RNA (9668 nucleotides) under Triticum aestivum (bread wheat). RNAcentral describes it as "long non-coding RNA (TAES_LNC012064)". The record is from RNAcentral. Lineage: Eukaryota; Viridiplantae; Streptophyta; Magnoliopsida; Poales; Poaceae.
AUUGCUUUCGUCAAGCCUUGCAAACACCGGAGAGCGAUGAAACACAUUGAUAUCAUUGUGAGACCGACUAUGUCGAAGAAAGAGUGCCCCCGAUUCGACCGUACACUAAUCAUACACGCAAACGUGUACAGUCAAGAUCAAGGACUCACGGGAAGAUAUCACAACACAACUCUAAACAAAAAAGAAAGACAUACAAGCUUCAUAUUACAAGCCAGGGGCCUCGAGGGCUCGAAUACAAAAGCUCGAUACACAAGCGAGUCAACGGAAGCAACAAUAUCUGACUACAGACAUAAGUUAAACAAGUUUUGCCUUAAAAAGGCUAGCACAAACAUCAACGAUCGAAGAGGCGAGGCCUCCUGCCUGGGACCUCCUAACUACUCCUGGUCGUCGGCGGUCUUCACGUAGCAGCAUCCAUCGGCGAUGGCAUCUGGCUCCAGGGAUCCACCAUCUGGUUGCAUCAACCGGAAAGAAGAAAGAAGGGGGAAAAGGGGAAGCAAAGCAACCGUGAGUACUCAUCCAAAGUACUCGCAAGCAUCAGAUCUAUACUAAGUAUGCACUGGUAUCAAAUGGAAGGUUUGUAUAUGUGGACUGAACUGCAGAAUGCCAGAAUAGAGGGGGAAGGCCUAGCCUAUUGAAGACUAGCAUCUUCAAGCAGCUCCGAGCAUUUUGCAACAUAUAGAAGAGUAAAGAAUAGCAGUUUAUAUUUAACAAGCAUGUUGUAACAUUAAUGCCCAGAGAUCCUUCCUCGACUCCCUGCGAGAAAGCAAUCCCGGAGCCACAUAUCUCAAGUAUCCAUUUUUGUUGUAUAAGAUCAGGAUAUAAGUCUGAACGUCCAUUACCGUGGACACGGUAUUCGAAUAUAUAACUUCCCUGUAGGGGUGCACCACGUUACCCAACACGCUCGAUCACUCUGGUCGGACACACCUUUCUGGGGUCAAUGCCCGCCCUCGGAAGAUCAACACGUCGUAGCCCGACCUAGGCUCAGCAGAGAGGUCCCCGUCGGUCUACAUCCUAAGCACUCCGGGGUCUUGGGCCCAUCGCCCGCAGCACUCCGGGUCGUUGCGUGCAGGGUGAAUACCAGCACCGCCUCGGAUGGCCAGCACGAUCCGACCGUGCCGCACUGCUGAACUGGACGUCUGGCAAAGCUUCGGCUGAUACUGCACCGUCGAGGCCCAUAUCUAUUUUCGCGUGGUGGUUAGUGCGUAAAGGCAAGAGGCCAACUCAGAGCAAAUACCCAAACCAUAGUGUAUUAUUAGCUUGCGGAGAUGAGCAGAGACUCACGAUCGAAGGUGACCCCGUCGCCCCGUCUCGUGGACUUACGACAAGGGCCUAGAAUGCCCGAUCGUGCCACGUAACCAUCUUGCGGGUGCUCUCCGGGCCCGCCCGACUUUCACCAAGGUAUCAAGUAAAGUCAAGGUAACCGUGUGUCCAAACAUCAAGGGGAAAACCCGAGGAAUCACCCACGGAGGAUUCCACUCAAUGUAAUCAUCAAGGUGAACGUAAGAGGGACCACCCUCGAGGUUCACACUUGAGGUGUUGAACGACAGAGCCGUAUCGAGAUUGGUGAAGGAGGAAAUCGCCCUUGAUGACCACGACCGAAUAGCUACACUACAGAAUUAUCAUCAGGAGUGCAUUAUGAGGGAUCACCCUCGGCACUCGAUAGUAGCUCUGCAGAGUCGAGCAACUAAAAGGGCGUGAUGUGAUGUGAGGUGUCGGGCUCUGGUCAUCGAUCACGUCGAUCGAGGCGUCGAUGAUGAAGCAGGGGCAACAAGGACAAGUGGGGGUCACUGACGGAUCACUAGCCAACCUAUACUAAGCAGUUUAGGAUAACCAGGUAGGUAACAAUAAGCAGGCUAUGCAUCAGAAUAGGAGAAAACAAUAACAAUAGCAAAAUCUAAUGCAAGCAUGAGAUAAUAGAAUGGGCGAUAUCGGGAUAAUCAAAGGGGGGGCUUGCCCGGUUGCUCAAACAAGAAGGAGGGUCGUCGUCGACGUAUUCGAUCUCAGGGGCAUCAGCAGCGGUCUCGAGGUCUACCGGAGAAGAAGAGGGGGAAGAAAUAGUAAAUACAUGCAAACAUAAGCAUAACAAGGCAAUAAACAGGGCUAGAGGUGUUCGAACGCGGUGCUACGAUACUAACGAAGGGGGGAAACAUCCGGGAAAGUUUUCCCGGUUCCGGACGUCUGUCAGACAGAUGAACCGGAGGGGAAAAGUUCAACAUUUGCUAUGCUAGGGACGUGUGGCGGAUGAAUGGGCCGUGUAUUCGGAUUCGUCUCGUUGUUCUGAGCAACUUGCAUGUAGAAAACUUUUUCAUCCAAGCUACGGUUUAAUUUCUAUCAAUUUUCAAAGUUUUAUAUCUAAAAUUAAUUUUAAUACGAAAAUAAAUGCUAAAAUGCUAGGCGCACCCAGCACAGUGUACACAAGAGUGUACCUAGUGGCUGAAAGGUGGGCCAGGGGGACCCAGUUGACCAGUCAACAUUUGACUGGUUAAUAGGGGUGGGACCCCCUGUCAUGCACUCAUUCAGCUAAUUACGAAUUAGUUAGACUAACUAAGUAAUUAGUUUAAUUAAACCAUUUUAAUUAAGUUAAUUAAUUAACUAACUAACUAAUUAUAUAUAUAUAUAUAUAUAUAUAUAUAUAUAUAUUACUCUUUUUUUGAAAGAGGGGCGUGGAGCCCGUGUGUAAGUGGCCCAGGGGCCCUUGGCCGGGUUAGCGGCUAAAUGGGGCGGAGCCCCGGGUAUGCGGGCACUGCCCACCCGAGCGAUGGGUGGGGUCGGGCGGGCGCCGGCCGGAACAGGGCUGCGGGCCGGAGGGGAGGUGGCUGGCGGCAGCAGCGCCAGGGGAGACGGCGUGGGCGGCACAGCGGCCGGGGGAGGCGCUGCGGACGCGCGAGCAUGGCCCAGGGGCGACAAGGCGCGGGUGACGCGCGAGGUUCAGAGGCCUGGGUCGAGACGGCCAUAGCGCCACAGAGGCGCGGCGUGGGACCGCCAAAACUACGGUGGAUUGAGGGGGCGAGCAAAGGGAAUGGGAAGGGGAGCUCACUGCGAUGUUGAAGGCGAGCUCGAGGAAGACAGGGAGCUCGGGACGGCGCGGAUCGAACGGCGGUGUUCUUCGGUGCGUGAGGUUGAAGAUGAAGGCGAGGAGCCUGAUGCAGGGGCGUCUAUGUCCAACGAGUGGCCGCAAGCGACGAACAGGACGACGACGAAGCUCCAGGACCUCCUAGCGGGGCUCGGGAAGGAGGGUGGCCGUGGCUAUGCCAAAGCCAUGGCGACGACUGUGGCGAUUUGGCGCGGGGAAAGAAAAGCGAGCGGGGGGGAUUGGGGAUGAGUGGGGACUAGGGUUUCCAAGGGGAGACAGGAGUUGGCCUUAUCCUCGUCGGGGCAACGCGAGAUGGGCGACGCGUGGAGAUCGGAGACGUGUGCGGGCGUGCGUGCUCCACCGUGACGUGGGUGAACAGGAGGUUGUGGAUGAUCUUAGGCGGGCUGGCCGGCCUGGCUGGGGUGGCUAGUUGGCUGGGCUAAGGCCCGGCGAGGGGGGGGGGGGCUCCUGUUCUUUUUAUAUUUUCUAUUUAUUUUUCUCUUCCUGCAAAUUGCUAGGCCACAUAAAGACUUUUGUAAAAUAUGGAAUUGUGCCACAUAAUUACCUGACAAUAUUUAGAGCGGCCAUAAAGAGGUUUGGUGAAAUGAUAAAACACUUUGAAUAAUUUUAUUAUUUAAAAGGCAUUUAAUUAAUUGUUUUAGCUACUGUUUUAUUCAUUUUGGAACACUUAAACCUUUUAUUAAAAAGUGGGUUCUUCACCAAUAAUACUUAUGUCAUAUUUGCCACAUUUUGCACAUUUUAUUUUGCAUGUUUGAGAAAUUAGAAUUUUGGAUCUUAAUUUGAAUUAGGCCUUGGAUCAACAAGAGGAUUAGCAACAGUAAUGUGAUGACCUGGCAUCAUUAGUAGGGGAUUACUGUAGUUUAAGUAUCCGGGCGUCACAAUUCUCCCCCACUACAAGAAAUCUCGUCCCGAGAUUUAAGGGUUGGAAUAAGGGGGGAAGACUCGGGAAGGACGGAGCUCAACACAAAAUAAAUACCUCAACAUGGCAUAGAGGCAUCUCUCGAGUUGAAAUUCAAGAAAAUCAUCGAGAGGAAGGUAAGAAGAUGCAAUAAGAAGCUUCAACAAGGUAGGCAAUCGUUUGUUGCCUGAAAUAGAGAGUGAAUGGGGUCCAGAGCAAUGGGAAUAUUGCGUCCGAUACCAGAAUAGAUCACUAGGAAUGUGGCUCGUGGAUUACAUACGAAGCCAAGCGCGAGGAAUAACUUAGAAAGCAGGGAUGUAUAGGAGAGUCAGGUUUCGAUCCUGUGGAACUGUGGGUUAUGGGCCCACCAUGUGGGCUAAAAACAGGAAGGGUGCUAACAUUUUGUACGGUCAUGAUAGUAAGGCAGGUUAGAGGAUAGUCUGUCAGUUAUGUUGGCAACAAUGCUGGUACCAAGGGCAAGGGACAAAGAGAACCAUUUUCCUGCUCGUUAAGACGAGGCGGACCAAUAGGCAAAUUUCUCGUCCAUCGGCGGCUACCAGAAUGUCAUCAACAAUAGUAACAAGGUCUUACUGACAGAGAAUGUACACCGAGGUAUUUACAUAAGCAGAGAAUUAUCACUGCUUAGGUAUGAUAGGUUACAAGAAAGGUUGAACAAAACAAUGAAAAGGAAAGUGUAGACUCGAAUCAGUUAUCGGUGUUCUCGAGUGUCUAAAUACUCAGAACCCGUGGAAAACUGGAAUCAGCGAGAAAUAAUAGUUGAUCAAGAACUCAUAAGAAGUUAUGUAGUUCCAUGAUAUUCUCGAGAUACCAGAGGGUAAUACUCAAGGGUAUAGCAGAAUAGAGGUUGGACGGGUGAAAUGAUCUACAGAAGACAAGUACUUCCACUUGUCCGAGAAAUGAAAUCAAAGAAGAACAAUCAUGGUUGGAACCACGGUUGUGAAGGUGCAAGCAUAGAUACGAGACAAACUUAUCACAAGAGGAUUAUUAUUAUAACAAGAAGCUUCCAUGAUAAGUUCCACAUCGGGUCCAUGGGCAUGAACACAAAUGUUCAAUGUCGACUCCCACUUCUCUAAUGCACAAAUUUCCAUUCACUUCUCACCUUCUAAGAAGUUGUAGCGUUGAAAUUUUACCUGGCGAAAGCCAAUAGAGUAUAACCCGCAUAACUUUUGAGUUCACCCGGAUUUAGCGAAGACAUAGAUUCAACCCAUCGGGGCAUCUUAGAAACAAAUUCCACAAACUUUAGGAAUAAAUAACUCAAGCCCGGAAGCAGAGCAUGGUAGAGGAAGCAGAAGAUACAAUUUACCAAAGGCAUUAUGUAUCCGAGGAAAAGCUCACAAGGUUACUGUAUAUGAAGGACGUUGUCGGAUAGAACCCCACAAAGGAUCUGGUGGUUCACAAGGGAUCUGAUGUGAGCAUCAAUACUCAACCAGAAGUAGAAAGAAUGCAAGGAUAUCAGAUUAUAGAAGCAACUGACUAAUUCAGAGUUGAAAUGCAAAAGGAAUUAUGAUUUCCAAAAUCAAGGGAUCAAAAGCAAACGCUCUGACCAAGGAUGGUUAAGUUGAAUAGACUUAGGGCACAAUCGAUGGCAAUCUGAUUGGCCGAGAACCAGCUCAUGUUCGGGAAGACGUCUGAGCCGGAAAGAUAAUCUAUAAGGAUCAACUGAUGAUUGCGACAUAGACAUAUCAAAUCGAAAGACUCAAGAUGAUAAUGACAAAGGACGUCAAUGGAUACUGCUAGGCAUAUGGAAUUAAUCAGAGUGUAGGCAGGUAAGACUUCCUAGAGCAAUAGGCGACAGAGGUCAUCGAAAGCUCGGGAUUGUAUUACCAAGUAUCUUACGAAGCAUAAGAAUAACUAGGGCGAAUGGAUACUCGAUAAGAGCGAUUAAUUAACCGAAGGGGUAUUCAUGCGGCAAGGACUGCAGGGCAGUAAGCAUAAAGGAUCCUCGCAACAUCGAAGAGUAUUUCAGGACAUCUUGUAAUAACAAAAGCAACUGGGGAUGAAGGUAUGAACGACAACAUAGGUAGUUACGCAUAAGGAUUUAUCGGUGGUAGAGAUCGCAAUGUGAAGGGUACAAGGGACUCGGUAAAACAUCAGAGAGUGUCUUCAGAAUCUUUUGAUGCACCAAGUAAUCAUCGGCUCUCCGGGAGAAACUAUUUACGAGAACCUAAAGUUAGAGUUAGCAAAAUCAUUUAAUCCGAAUUGAAGAGAGACCAGAAUCCCAGAGUAUAGACGAGGAGUAAAAGAUCCUAAUACCACCCAAAUGGCGAUGUGGGCCCGUAAGCCACACAGCCAUGUUAGUAAAACAGUUUUUCAAAGACUAGACUCAACUUCGGCCAAGGUGUUGGAAAGGGGGAUCCUACAGGCAGUCGGCUCUGAUACCAACUUGUGACGCCCCUGAUUCGACUGUACACUAAUCAUACACGCAAACGUGUACAAUCAAGAUCAAGGACUCACGGGAAGAUAUCACAACACAACUCUAAACACAAAAGAAAGACAUACAAGCUUCAUAUUACAAGCCAGGGGCCUCAAGGGCUUGAAUACAAAAGCUCGAUACACAAGCGAGUCAGCGAAAGCAACAAUAUCUGAGUACAGACAUGAGUUAAACAAGUUUAGCCUUAAGAAGGCUAGCACAAACAUCAACGAUCGAAGAGGCAAGGCCUCCUACCUGGGACCUCCUAACUACUCCUGGUCGUCGGCGGUCUUCACGUAGCAGCAUCCAUCGGAGAUGGCAUCUAGCUCCAGGGAUCCACCAUCUGGUUGCAUCAACCGGGAAGAAGAAAGAAGGAGGAAAAGGGGAAGCAAAGCAACCGUGAGUACUCAUCCAAAGUACUCGCAAGCAUCAGAUCUAUACUAAGUAUGCACUGGUAUCAAAUGGAAGGUUUGUAUAUGUGGACUGAACUGCAGAAUGCCAGAAUAGAGGGGAAGGCCUUACCUAUUGAAGACUAGCAUCUUCAAGCAGCUCCGAGCAUCUUGCAGCAUAUAGAAGAGUAAAGAAUAGCAGUUUGUAUUUAACAAGCAUGUUGUAACAUUAAUGCCUAGAGAUCCUUCCUCGACUCCCUGCGAGAAAUCAAUCCCGGAGCCACAUAUCUCAAGUAUCCAUUUUUGUUGUAUAAGAUCAGGAUAUAAGUCUGAACAUCCAUUACCGUGGACACGGUAUUCAAAUAUAUAAAUUUCCUGCAGGGGUGCACCACGUUACCCAACACGCUCGAUCACUCUGGCUGGACACACCUUUCUGGGGUCAAUGCCCGCCCUCGGAAGAUCAACAUGUCGUAGCCAGACCUAGGCUCAGCAGAGAGGUCCCCGCCGGUCUACAUCCUAAGCACUCCGGGGUCUUGGGCCCAUCGCCCGCAGCACUCCGGGUCGUUGCAGGGUGAAUACCAGCACCGCCUCGGAUGGCCAGCACGAUACGACCGUGCCGCACUACUGAACUGGACGUCUGACAAAGCUUCGGCUAAUACUGCGACGUCGAGGCCCAUAUCUAUUCUCGCGUGGUGGUUAGUGCGUAAAGGCCAGAGGUCAACUCAGAACAAAUACCCAAACCAUAGUGUAUUAUUAGCUUGCGGAGACGAGCAGAAACUCACGGUCGAAAGUGACCCCGUCGCCCCGUCUCGUGGACUUACGACAAGGGCCUAAAAUGCCCGGCCGUGCCACGUAACCAUCUUGCGGGUGCUCUCUGGGCCCGCCCGACUUUCACCAAGGUCUCAAGGAAAGUCAAGGUAACCGUGUGUCCAAACAUCAAGGGGAAAACCCGAGGAAUCACCCACGGAGGAUUCCACUCAAUGUGAUCAUCAAGGUGAACGUAAGAGGGACCACCCUCGAGGUUCACACUUGAGGUGUUGAAUGACAGAGCCAUAUCGAGAAUGGUGAAGGAGGAAAUCGCCCUCGAUGACCACGACCGAAUAGCUACACUACAGAAUUAUCAUCAGGAGUGCAUUAUGAGGGAUCACCCUCGGCACUCGAUAGUAGCUCUGCAGAGUCGAGCAACUAAAGGGGCGUGAUGUGAUGUGAGGUGUCGGGCUCUGGUCGUCGAUCACGUCGAUCGAGGCGUCGAUGAUGAAGCAAGGGCAACAAGGACAAGUGGGGGUCACUGACGGAUCACUAGCCAACCUAUACUAAGCAGUUUAGGAUAACCAGGUAGGUAACAAUAAGCAGGUAUAAAAGCAGGCUAGGAGUAAACAAUAACAAUAGCAAAAUCUAAUGCAAGCAUGAGAUAAUAGAAUGGGCGAUAUCGGGAUGAUCAAAGGGGGGGGGGGGCUUUCCCGGUUGCUCAAACAAGAAGGAGGGUCGUCGUCGACGUAUUCGAUCUCAGGGGCAUCAGCAGCGGUCUCGAGGUCUACCGGAGAACAAGAGGGGGAAGAAACAGUAAAUACAUGCAAACAUAAGCAUAACAAUGCAAUAAACAGGGCUAGAGGUGUCCGAACGCGGUGCUACGAUACUAACGACGGGGGGAAACAUCCGGGAAAGUUUUCCCGGUUCCGGACGUCUGUCAGACAGAUGAACCGGAGGGAAAAAGUUCAACAUUUGCUAUGCUAGGGACGUGUGGCGGAUGAAUGGACCGCGUGUUUAGAUUCGUCUCGUCGUUCUGAGCAACUUUCAUGUAGAAAACUUUUUCAUCCGAGCUACGGUUUAAUUUCUAUUAAUUUUCAAAGUUUUAUUAAUUAUCUGAAAUUAAUUUUAAUACGAAAAUAAAUGCUAAAAUGCUAGGGGCACCCAGCACAGUGUACACAAGAGUGUACCAGUGGCUGACAGGUGGGCCAGGGGGACCCAGUUGACCAGUCAACAUUUGACUGGUCAACAGGGGUGGGACCCCCUGUCAUGCACUCAUUCAGCUAAUUACGAAUUAGUUAGACUAACUAAGUAAUUAGUUUAAUUAAACCAUUUUAAUUAAGUUAAUUAAUUAACUAACUAAUUAAUAUAUAUAUAUAUAUAUAUAUAUUACUCUUUUUUUUGAAAGAGGGGCGUGGAGCCCGUGUGUAAGUGGCCCAGGGGCCCUUGGCCGGGUUAGCGGCUAAACGGGGCGGAGCCCCGGGUAUGCGGGCGCUGCCCACCCGAGCGAUGGGUGGGGGAAGCCGGGAACGGGCGCCGGCGGCGAGGGGUCGCGCGGGCACCGGUCAGAACAGGGCUGCGGGCCGGAGGGGAGGUGGCCGGCGGCAGCAGCGCCAGGGGAGACGGCGUGGGCGGCACAACGGCAGGGGGAGGCGCUGCGGACGCGCGAGCGUGGCCCAGGGGCGACAAGGCGCGGGCGACGCGCGAGGUUCAGAGGCCUGGGUCGAGACGGCUAUAGCGCCGUAGAGGCGCGGCGUGAGACCGCCAAAACUACGGUGGAUUGAGGGGGCGAGCAAAGGGAAUGGGAAGGGGAGCUCACUGCGAUGUUGAAGGCAAGCUCGAGGAAGACAGGGAGCUCGGGACGGCGCGGAUCGAAUGGCGGUGUUCUUCGGUGCGUGAGGUUGAAGAUGAAGGCGAGGAGCCUGAUGCAGGGGCGUCUAGGUCCAACGAGUGGCCGCAAGCGACGAACAGGACGACGACGAAGCUCCAGGACCUCCUAGCGGGGCUCGGGGAGGAGGGUGGCCGCGGCUAUGCCAAAGCCACGGCGACGACUGUGGCGAUUUGGCGCGGGGAAAGAAAAGCGAGCGGGGGGGAUUGGGGAUGAGGGGG